AGAAUCAACGCUGGCGGCGCGCUUAACACAUGCAAGUCGAGCGAGAAAGGGGAGCAAUCCCUGAGUACAGCGGCGUACGGGUGAGUAACACGUGGGUAAUCUGCCUUCUAGUGGGGGAUAACCCUGGGAAACCGGGGCUAAUACCGCAUAAGCCUGUGAAGGGAAAGCGAGCAAUCGCGCUGGAAGAGGAGCCCGCGGCCGAUUAGCUAGUUGGUGGGGUAACGGCCCACCAAGGCGAUGAUCGGUAGCCGGCCUGAGAGGGCACACGGCCACACUGGCACUGAAACACGGGCCAGACUCCUACGGGAGGCAGCAGUGGGGAAUCUUGCACAAUGGAGGCAACUCUGAUGCAGCGACGCCGCGUGAGCGAUGAAGCCCUUCGGGGUGUAAAGCUCUUUCGGCAGGGACGAUAAUGACGGUACCUGAAGAAGAAGCUGCGGCUAACUACGUGCCAGCAGCCGCGGUAA
RNAcentral lists this ribosomal RNA (467 nucleotides) under uncultured bacterium. RNAcentral describes it as "SSU rRNA". It matches the Rfam family "Bacterial small subunit ribosomal RNA", at positions 26 to 523 of the family's 1533-position model. The record is from RNAcentral.